This 474-nucleotide ribosomal RNA is filed under the name Nocardia cyriacigeorgica. RNAcentral describes it as "bacterial SSU rRNA". It matches the Rfam family "Bacterial small subunit ribosomal RNA", at positions 28 to 519 of the family's 1533-position model. The record is from RNAcentral. Lineage: Bacteria; Bacillati; Actinomycetota; Actinomycetes; Mycobacteriales; Nocardiaceae.
GACGAACGCUGGCGGCGUGCUUAACACAUGCAAGUCGAGCGGUAAGGCCCUUCGGGGUACACGAGCGGCGAACGGGUGAGUAACACGUGGGUGAUCUGCCUCGCACUCUGGGAUAAGCCUGGGAAACUGGGUCUAAUACCGGAUAUGACCUUACAUCGCAUGGUGUUUGGUGGAAAGAUUUAUCGGUGCGAGAUGGGCCCGCGGCCUAUCAGCUUGUUGGUGGGGUAAUGGCCUACCAAGGCGACGACGGGUAGCCGGCCUGAGAGGGCGACCGGCCACACUGGGACUGAGACACGGCCCAGACUCCUACGGGAGGCAGCAGUGGGGAAUAUUGCACAAUGGGCGAAAGCCUGAUGCAGCGACGCCGCGUGAGGGAUGACGGCCUUCGGGUUGUAAACCUCUUUCGACAGGGACGAAGCGCAAGUGACGGUACCUGUAGAAGAAGCACCGGCCAACUACGUGCCAGCAGCCGCG